This 424-nucleotide ribosomal RNA is filed under the name uncultured Rhodopirellula sp. RNAcentral describes it as "bacterial SSU rRNA". It matches the Rfam family "Bacterial small subunit ribosomal RNA", at positions 353 to 772 of the family's 1533-position model. Lineage: Bacteria; Pseudomonadati; Planctomycetota; Planctomycetia; Pirellulales; Pirellulaceae. The record is from RNAcentral.
AGUCGAGAAUCUUCGGCAAUGGACGAAAGUCUGACCGAGCGAUGCCGCGUGCGGGAUGAAGGCCCUCGGGUUGUAAACCGCUGUCAGUUGUUAGGAAAUUCAUGGUGGUUAUCCAUCAUGUUUGACCGAUCUUCAGAGGAAGGACGGGCUAAGUACGUGCCAGCAGCCGCGGUAAUACGUACCGUCCAAACGUUAUUCGGUAUCACUGGGCUUAAAGCGUUCGUAGGCGGCCUAGAAGGUGAGAUGUGAAAGCCCACGGCUCAACCGUGGAAUUGCGUUUCAAACCACUAGGCUUGAGGAAGACAGGGGUGAUGGGAACUUAUGGUGGAGCGGUGAAAUGCGUUGAUAUCAUAGGGAACACCGGUGGCGAAAGCGCAUCACUGGGUCUUUUCUGACGCUGAGGAACGAAAGCUAGGGUAGCGAA